GGUAUAGCUCAAGUGGUAGAGCACAUGCUUAGCAUGCACGAGGUCCCAGGUUCAAUCCUUGGUACC
This 66-nucleotide transfer RNA is filed under the name Camelus bactrianus (Bactrian camel). It matches the Rfam family "tRNA". Rfam says of the family: Transfer RNA (tRNA) molecules are approximately 80 nucleotides in length. The record is from Rfam by way of RNAcentral. RNAcentral also lists the same sequence under 3 other names. Lineage: Eukaryota; Metazoa; Chordata; Mammalia; Artiodactyla; Camelidae.